RNAcentral lists this ribosomal RNA (253 nucleotides) under uncultured bacterium. RNAcentral describes it as "partial 16S ribosomal RNA". It matches the Rfam family "Bacterial small subunit ribosomal RNA", at positions 524 to 776 of the family's 1533-position model. The record is from RNAcentral.
UACGUAGGGUGCAAGCGUUAAUCGGAAUUACUGGGCGUAAAGCGUGCGCAGGCGGUUCGUUAAGACAGAUGUGAAAUCCCCGGGCUUAACCUGGGAACUGCAUUUGUGACUGGCGGACUCGAGUAUGGCAGAGGAAGGUGGAAUUCCACGUGUAGCGGUGAAAUGCGUAGAGAUGUGGAGGAACACCGAUGGCGAAGGCAGCCUUCUGGGCCAAUACUGACGCUCAUGCACGAAAGCGUGGGGAGCAAACAGG